AAUCCAGAUAGUGGAUCUACAGAGCUUUUGUCUCCCCACCUACAAAACCGAGAAUAAACAACAAAAGUACAGAUACACGAAAACACUACUUAAGUACAGUAAUGAAUUACAUUUACUUAGUUACUGUCCACCACUGUAAAUACUUGAUAGUUACAGGUUGUUACAAAAUGAGAUGAAGAGACCAUGUUGUUAAAUGAAGUAAACCAAACCUUUUCGGCGUGAGUAAAGUCAUGGUAAAGUGUGUAGCAUAGCUGCGACAGGGCUACAUAUUGCAGUAUAGUACAAAUCACUCUUUUCAAGUUGCUACCCAGAGUAGAAAGAAGUUGACCUUUGAGAUGUCUUUGUUUUGCGCUGAGCCUCAAGUAUAUGCAUAGGGAAUUCUUAACUUCUCUAGCUAUGUGCACAGCAGUUUUUUAAUUUGUCAUUUGUUUCCACAUCAACACUAUCCAUCCAUCCAUUUUCUAAGCCGCUUCUCCCUCAGGGUCACGAGGGUGUGAUGGAGCUUAUCCCAACGACAUCGGGCGGAAGGCAGGAUACACCCUGGACAGGUCACCAGCACAUUUGUUAUCUCUCCUGGUCAGCCUGCUCUAAUGGGGGCAUAAUACAGUCUAAUUACAGAUAUGAUAGCAUAUAGACCAGUUACAUAUGUCAGUAACCAGUGGUCUGAUUCCACACCCACAAAUAUUUUGAGGGAACAUUUUGCAAUUUGUAUGCAAGUUUUCUUUUAUUUGUCGUCAUGAUUUCGUAAUUCGUUCCCCCAGAUUCAUUCUCUCAUUGUCUUUUAAUGAGGCACAUUUUCUUUUUCAUUUUGAGCACAUUUUUUAUUUGUGCACAAACAAAAUAUAUGGAGCUACCGCUCAACUGCACUUUGAUUUGCAUUGCACUCUUCUUCAUUGUUUUAGAAUAAAAAACAUGCCAAAAACUGUUGCAUGGUGGCCUGGAGGGCAAAUAAGAAAUAUAGGUUUUCAAGAUACAUAACAGAGCUAAAAACACAUAGUUGACUAAAAGCUAACAACAGGGAGGGACCUAAUGGGAUCUUCAUAGUAUCUAUGUGUGCAGCAGAUAUUUUGCGUCAGGUAAGUUAAAAGUUAUUUAAUUCUCUGAGAAUUUGUUGUUAAAAUAAUUAGUAUCCAAUUCCCAAGAUACAUCAGCUAAUUAGUUAACUUGCUCCCCACUCUCCCUUCCUGACGUAAAGCACAUGCCAUGCUUUUUUUCACUGGCAUUCAAAGUAAACCACCACUUUCAGUCCAGAGUGUUUCUAACCAGUGAAAACAAGACCACUAAGCAGAAGUAGGAAGUUUUAUGAGUGUUCAGGUUCAUCAGUAGGUCACAAAAAUGCAUGAGAAAUGUCGAGUGUGGCACAAGAGCAUGAGAUUAGAUCUAAAUGCUGGGGUCUCAAAGCCAGUGCGUGAGAGUUGGCAGCCCUGAAUUAAAUGUGAUGUAAUAUAAUUAAG
Molecule: long non-coding RNA, 1454 nt
Organism: Pygocentrus nattereri (red-bellied piranha)
Lineage: Eukaryota; Metazoa; Chordata; Actinopteri; Characiformes; Serrasalmidae
Source: Ensembl